AGUGAACGCUGGCGGUAGGCCUAACACAUGCAAGUCGAACGGCAGCACAGUAAGUGCUUGCUCUUACGGGUGGCGAGUGGCGGAAGGGUGAGGAAUACAUCGGAAUCUACUUUUUCGUGGGGGAUAACGUAGGGAAACGUACGCUAAUACCGCAUACGACCUACGUGUGAAAGCAGGGGAUCUUCGGACCUUGCGCGAUUGAAUGAGCCGAUGUCGGCUUAGCUAGUUGGCGGGGUAAAGGCCCACCAAGGCGACGAUCCGUAGCUGGUCUGAGAGGAUGGACAGCCACACUGGAACUGAGACACGGUCCAGACUCCUACGGGGGGCAGCAGUGGGGAAUAUUGGACAAUGGGCGCAUGCCUGAUCCAGCCAUACCGCGUGGGUGAAGAAGGCCUUCGGGUUGUAAAGCCCUUUUGGUGGGAAAGAAAAGCAGCAGGUUAAUACCCCGCUGUUCUGACGGUACCCAAAGAAUAAGCACCGGCUAACUUCGUG
This 492-nucleotide ribosomal RNA is filed under the name uncultured bacterium. RNAcentral describes it as "partial 16S ribosomal RNA". It matches the Rfam family "Bacterial small subunit ribosomal RNA", at positions 29 to 507 of the family's 1533-position model. The record is from RNAcentral.